CCUACGGGGGGCAGCAGUCGGGAAUAUUGCGCAAUGGAGGAAACUCUGACGCAGUGACGCCGCGUAUAGGAAGAAGGUUUUCGGAUUGUAAACUAUUGUCGUUAGGGAAGAUAAAAGACAGUACCUAAGGAGGAAGCUCCGGCUAACUACGUGCCAGCAGCCGCGGUAAUACGUAGGGAGCAAGCGUUAUCCGGAUUUACUGGGUGUAAAGGGAGCGUAGACGGCGCGGCAAGUCUGAAGUGAAAGGCAGGGGCUUAACCCCUGAACUGCUUUGGAAACUGCCAUGCUAGAGUGCUGGAGAGGUA
RNAcentral lists this ribosomal RNA (305 nucleotides) under uncultured bacterium. RNAcentral describes it as "bacterial SSU rRNA". It matches the Rfam family "Bacterial small subunit ribosomal RNA", at positions 338 to 659 of the family's 1533-position model. The record is from RNAcentral.